Molecule: ribosomal RNA, 1337 nt
Filed under: metagenome
Description: bacterial LSU rRNA
Rfam family: Bacterial large subunit ribosomal RNA
Source: RNAcentral
UGAGUACGAGCUGCUACGGCAGCGAAGUGGGUGAUGUCAAGCUUCCAAGAAAAGCCCUAUACCCGUUAAGGCAUGACGGCCUGUACCCGAAACCGACACAGGUGGGGUGGUAGAGAAUACCGAGGGGCGCGAGAUAACUCUCUCUAAGGAACUCGGCAAAAUGGCCCCGUAACUUCGGGAGAAGGGGUGCCACCGCAAGGUGGUCGCAGUGAAGAGGCCCAGGCGACUGUUUACCAAAAACACAGGUCUCCGCUAAGUCGCAAGACGAUGUAUGGGGGCUGACGCCUGCCCAGUGCCGGAAGGUUAAGGAAGCUGGUCAGCGCAAGCGAAGCUAGCGACUGAAGCCCCGGUGAACGGCGGCCGUAACUAUAACGGUCCUAAGGUAGCGAAAUUCCUUGUCGGGUAAGUUCCGACCCGCACGAAAGGCGUAACGAUCUGGGCGCUGUCUCGGAGAGAGGCUCGGCGAAAUAGAAUUGUCUGUGAAGAUGCGGACUACGUGCACCCGGACAGAAAGACCCUAUGAAGCUUUACUGUAGCUUGGUAUUGUGCCCGGGCUCUGAAUGCGCAGGAUAGGUGGGAGGCUUUGAUCCAUUGCUUGUGGGUAAUGGUGAGCCACUGGUGAGAUACCACUCUUUCAGAGCUAGGGUUCUAACGGUCACCCGUUAUCCGGGGACCGGACAGUAUCAGGUGGGCAGUUUGACUGGGGCGGUCGCCUCCUAAAAGGUAACGGAGGCGCGCAAAGGUUCCCUCAGGCUGGUUGGUAAUCAGCCGACGAGUGUAAAGGCAGAAGGGAGCUUGACUGUGAGACCUACAAGUCGAACAGGGACGAAAGUCGGCCUUAGUGAUCCGACGGUUCUGAGUGGAAGGGCCGUCGCUCAACGGAUAAAAGUUACUCUAGGAUAACAGGCUGAUCUCCCCCAAGAGUUCACAUCGACGGGGAGGUUUGGCACCUCGAUGUCGGCUCAUCGCAACCUGGGGCUGAAGUCGGUCCCAAGGGUUGGGCUGUUCGCCCAUUAAAGCGGUACGCGAGCUGGGCUCAGAACGUCGUGAGACAGUUCGGUCCAUAUCCGGUGCACGCGCAGGAACAUUGAGAGGAUUUCUCCCUAGUACGAGAGGACCGGGAGGAACGCACCUCUGGUGUACCAGUUAUCGUGCCAACGGUAAACGCUGGGUAGCCAUGUGCGGAGCGGAUAACCGCUGAAAGCAUCUAAGUGGGAAGCCCACCUCAAGAUGAGUGUUCCCAUGGCAUAAGCCAGUAAGGUCACGGGAAGAACACCCGUUGAUAGGCUCUACGUGGAAGCGUGGCAACACGUGAAGCGGAGGAGUACUAAUAGACC